GCUGGCGACCGGCGCACGGGUGAGUAACACGUAUCCAACCUACCCUUUACCUUCGGGGAGUAGCCUUUCGUAAAGAAAGAAUUAAUACCCGACUAGCAUAAUGAUUCCGCAUGGUUUCAUUAUUAAAGGAUUCCGGUAAAGGAUGGGGAUGCGUUCCAUUAGGUUGUUGGUGAGGUAACGGCUCACCAAGCCUUCGAUGGAUAGGGGUUCUGAGAGGAAGGUCCCCCACAUUGGAACUGAGACACGGUCCAAACUCCUACGGGAGGCAGCAUG
Molecule: ribosomal RNA, 273 nt
Filed under: uncultured bacterium
Lineage: Bacteria
Description: partial 16S ribosomal RNA
Rfam family: Bacterial small subunit ribosomal RNA
Source: RNAcentral